GGGAUUGUGGCUCAGAGGGAGAGCGCUCGCCUUGCAGGCGUGAAACACUGGGUUCGAUCCUCGGUACCA
This 69-nucleotide transfer RNA is filed under the name Ictidomys tridecemlineatus (thirteen-lined ground squirrel). RNAcentral describes it as "Spermophilus tridecemlineatus (thirteen-lined ground squirrel) tRNA". It matches the Rfam family "tRNA". Rfam says of the family: Transfer RNA (tRNA) molecules are approximately 80 nucleotides in length. Lineage: Eukaryota; Metazoa; Chordata; Mammalia; Rodentia; Sciuridae. The record is from Rfam by way of RNAcentral.